GGGGGGAUACUCAAGUGGUCAACGAGGGCAGACUGUAAAUCUGCUGGCUUCGGCCUACGUCGGUUCGAGUCCGGCUCCCCCCACCA
This 86-nucleotide transfer RNA is filed under the name Gemmatimonadota bacterium. Its description in RNAcentral is "Gemmatimonadetes bacterium tRNA-Tyr". It matches the Rfam family "tRNA". From Rfam's summary of the family: Transfer RNA (tRNA) molecules are approximately 80 nucleotides in length. RNAcentral also lists the same sequence under 1 other name. The record is from RNAcentral. Lineage: Bacteria; Pseudomonadati; Gemmatimonadota.